This 434-nucleotide ribosomal RNA is filed under the name uncultured Lachnospiraceae bacterium. Its description in RNAcentral is "partial 16S ribosomal RNA". It matches the Rfam family "Bacterial small subunit ribosomal RNA", at positions 341 to 792 of the family's 1533-position model. The record is from RNAcentral. Lineage: Bacteria; Bacillati; Bacillota; Clostridia; Lachnospirales; Lachnospiraceae.
ACGGGAGGCAGCAGUGGGGAAUAUUGCACAAUGGGGGAAACCCUGAUGCAGCGACGCCGCGUGAGUGAAGAAGUAUUUCGGUAUGUAAAGCUUUAUCAGCAGGGAAGAUAAUGACGGUACCUGACUAAGAAGCCCCGGCUAACUACGUGCCAGCAGCCGCGGUAAUACGUAGGGGGCAAGCGUUAUCCGGAUUUACUGGGUGUAAAGGGAGCGUAGACGGUCUGGCAAGUCUGAAGUGAAAUGCCGGGGCUCAACCCCGGAACUGCUUUGGAAACUGUUGGACUGGAGGGCAGGAGAGGUAAGCGGAAUUCCUAGUGUAGCGGUGAAAUGCGUAGAUAUUAGGAGGAACACCAGAGGCGAAGGCGGCUUACUGGACUGUAACUGACGUUGAGGCUCGAAAGCGUGGGGAGCAAACAGGAUUAGAUACCCUGGUA